UACGUAGGGUGCGAGCGUUGUCCGGAAUUAUUGGGCGUAAAGAGCUCGUAGGCGGUGUGUCACGUCGGCCGUGAAAACCUGCAGCUUAACUGUGGGCGUGCGGUCGAUACGGGCAUCACUGGAGUUCGGCAGGGGAGACUGGAAUUCCUGGUGUAGCGGUGAAAUGCGCAGAUAUCAGGAGGAACACCGGUGGCGAAGGCGGGUCUCUGGGCCGAUACUGACGCUGAGGCGCGAAAGCUAGGGGAGCAAACGGG
RNAcentral lists this ribosomal RNA (254 nucleotides) under uncultured bacterium. RNAcentral describes it as "partial 16S ribosomal RNA". It matches the Rfam family "Bacterial small subunit ribosomal RNA", at positions 524 to 776 of the family's 1533-position model. The record is from RNAcentral.